Molecule: transfer RNA, 73 nt
Filed under: Camelus bactrianus (Bactrian camel)
Lineage: Eukaryota; Metazoa; Chordata; Mammalia; Artiodactyla; Camelidae
Also listed under: 1 other name
Rfam family: tRNA
About the family: Transfer RNA (tRNA) molecules are approximately 80 nucleotides in length. Their secondary structure includes four short double-helical elements and three loops (D, anti-codon, and T loops). Further hydrogen bonds mediate the characteristic L-shaped molecular structure. tRNAs have two regions of fundamental functional importance: the anti-codon, which is responsible for specific mRNA codon recognition, and the 3' end, to which the tRNAs corresponding amino acid is attached (by aminoacyl-tRNA synthetases). tRNAs cope with the degeneracy of the genetic code in two manners: having more than one tRNA (with a specific anti-codon) for a particular amino acid; and 'wobble' base-pairing, i.e. permitting non-standard base-pairing at the 3rd anti-codon position.
Source: Rfam by way of RNAcentral
GGGGGUAUACCUCAAAUGGCAGAGUGCACGUUUAGCAUGCUUGAGGUCCUGGGUUCAAACCCCAGUACCUCCU